Molecule: long non-coding RNA, 306 nt
Organism: Oreochromis aureus
Lineage: Eukaryota; Metazoa; Chordata; Actinopteri; Cichliformes; Cichlidae
Exons: 3
Source: RefSeq, a predicted model, not a curated record
UCUGGAUUCUGGUUAUGUGGCCUGCAGCACCUAUAAGAACAAGCUCGUACAGUGUGCCUGCAUUCCAGCUUCUUAGACUCUACGCAAGUGGACAGAGUGUCAGUGUUUGGCCACUCUUACAGACACCGACUUCUGUCAACUCACUGCUACUGAUCAGGUACCUCACUCCAGGAACAGAGGGCUGCAAGCCUGUCAUCGUUUCCAGUGUGGCUUUGAAUACUUGGGGUAGCAUCAGAUUUUUCCCACAAAUAUUCAAAGAUUUAUAUGCAGUGAUCGGAUGUGGUGGAGCUUUGUUAACUGUGUGGA